CCUACAUUUCUUGGAGAAGUAUUUUUUGUUCCUCUAUUUCAGAUGCUUUCUUAAAUAUCUUAUCUCCAUCGAAGCCUCCUCAUUACUCUUCUUCAACUUUUAGAGUUUCUCUUUGACUUCAGCGGCAUCUCGUUGAGCUCGGCAUAAAUUUUCUCCAAGAUUUUUUAUCAGAACCCUCAAAGGCAAGACAAUUGGCAGAUG
This 201-nucleotide long non-coding RNA is filed under the name Elaeis guineensis (African oil palm). RNAcentral describes it as "long non-coding RNA (EGUI_LNC018517)". Lineage: Eukaryota; Viridiplantae; Streptophyta; Magnoliopsida; Arecales; Arecaceae. The record is from RNAcentral.